This 1329-nucleotide long non-coding RNA is filed under the name Vigna radiata. RNAcentral's name for it is "long non-coding RNA (VRAD_LNC009187)". The record is from RNAcentral. Lineage: Eukaryota; Viridiplantae; Streptophyta; Magnoliopsida; Fabales; Fabaceae.
UUUGUAACAAAGAAGGAACCUCAUCCCAUGAUACGUUGUGUUUGUUCGAUGCAUGGAAACUGAUUUAAUGGGGAUUAAAAGGCAUUUAAAAGGAACCCAUAAUGCUACAUGUGAACUGUUCCUUAAGUCCACUCUCCCUCUCAAACUGAAUAAGAAUAUCAACAUUGGCAAAUGGACAAGCACAGGCAGGUAUGUGUAUGUGUGUGUGUAUUCCACAAUAAUUGAAAGCUAUGUUUAAAUAGGUAUCACACUGCAAAUCAUGCAGAAAUUGUUAUCACUUUGCAGUUUACGAUGUUGCCCUCAGAAAAUGACAUAUUGGUGAAUUGUAUUAUCUGGGAUUUGAUAGGAUAAUAUUAAAAAAAGGAUAAAGCCUAAUAAUUUUUUUUCUUAUUGCUUGUUAAUAAGCAUUAUGCUCCAGAACUAUAUAGCUAAUGAUGGGUUUAAUUUUAUCAGCAGUGGGAAAAAAGAUAUGAUAAAAGUUGGAAGAAAGAGAAAGAAAAUGUUGCAGGUGUUUACAAUGGGGACUUGCUGUUGCGGUUCGGCCUUUGGUGGAAGUGGCUGAUCAAAAACAUCCUGCAACAUGGUGUAUCCCCUGGCAAGAGGUAAUGAAGCCAGCCCAGAAAGUUAAGAAAAUAGAAUAUGUAGACAAAAAGGUAUAUGUGGAGGGAGAGAUGGUACAUAUAUAAUUGUAGUAAGAAGUGGAAAAUGUUGGAAAAUUGUGUUGAGAGACACGUGUGUCGGAGAAGGGAGAGAAAGAAGGGGAAGUUAUGUGAUAAGAGGUUAGUUAGCUAGGAUGAUGGAGAGUAUGAGGGUCUCAAAGACUGAAAGAAUUAGUUAUGUUGAUAUAUAGGGCCAUUGCCUUGUCCCUUUAGGCGUCAGCCUGGCGUCAACGCGACACACACGCUGCCCCAUUCAUUCAUUCACUGCAACACUUGGAUUUUCUGUUGACCAAGCCUUUCCCACACUCUCUCUCUUUCUUUAUAUUCUUUUUUUUUUUUCUAAUAUUCUUAUAUACUGAUUACAAAAUAUUCUAUCACAUACCAAAUUUUUUUACCCUUUAUUUAACUAAUUUUAAUGGGUCACAACCUGCGAGCUAAUCCGGCUCACCACGCGUUUGGAUCGAGUUGGGUUUGAAGAAAUUAAAUUUUUUUAUGUGGGUCAAAUUUCAAUCUGAUUCAUUUAAAUCCGGUUCAUGCGAGUUGAACCCAUGGUGGAUCGGGUUGACCCGUCAAUUCACCUAUAUAAUUUUAUUUUUUUAAUUUAUUAUUUUAUUUAUGAAACUUAUGACAUAUAAGAAACUUAUUUGUAUGUUUUUUGUGUUUGUUUUUG